Molecule: ribosomal RNA, 27 nt
Filed under: Ziziphus mauritiana (Indian jujube)
Lineage: Eukaryota; Viridiplantae; Streptophyta; Magnoliopsida; Rosales; Rhamnaceae
Description: partial 28S ribosomal RNA
Source: RNAcentral
AAGACCCCAAUGCGUCGCGGAUGCGGC